UACGUAGGCAGCAAGCGUUGUUCGGAAUUACUGGGCGUAAAGAGUGUGUAGGCGGUGCUCUAAGUUCGGUGUGAAAUCUCCUGGCUUAACUGGGAGGGUGCGCCGGAAACUGGAGUGCUCGAGCGUGGGAGAGGAAAGCGGAAUUCCUGGUGUAGCGGUGAAAUGCGUAGAUAUCAGGAGGAACACCAAUUGCGAAGGCAGCUCGCUGGGACGUAACUGACGCUGAGACGCGAAAGCGUGGGGAGCAAACAGG
Molecule: ribosomal RNA, 253 nt
Filed under: uncultured bacterium
Lineage: Bacteria
Description: partial 16S ribosomal RNA
Rfam family: Bacterial small subunit ribosomal RNA
Source: RNAcentral